UGAUGACGAGACGCUAAGGCGUUGAAGCAGUGUAUGUCAGACUUCCAAGAAAAGCUCGCAAUGUCACAAAUAAAAAGUGCCUGUACCAUAACCGACACAGGUGGGUAGGUAGAGUAUACUAAGGGGCGCGAGAUAACUCUCUCUAAGGAACUCGGCAAAAUGACUCCGUAACUUCGGGAGAAGGAGUGCCUUAUUUAUAAGGUUGCAAUAACAAGAUCCAAGCAACUGUUUAUCAAAAACACAGGUCUCCGCUAAGUCGUAAGACGAUGUAUGGGGGCUGACGCCUGCCCAGUGCCAGAAGGUUAAAGAAGUUGGUUAGUGUAUGCGAAGCUGAUGACUGAAGCCCUGGUGAACGGCGGCCGUAACAAUAACGGUCCUAAGGUAGCGAAAUUCCUUGUCGGGUAAGUUCCGACCCGCACGAAAGGCGUAAUGAUUUGGAUACUGUCUCGGAGAGAGGCUCGGUGAAAUAGACUUGUCUGUGAAGAUGCGGACUACCUGCACCAGGACAGAAAGACCCUAUGAAGCUUUACUGUAACUUGAAAUUGGAAUUGGACUUUGCUUGCGCAGUAUAGGUGGGAAGCGUUGAAAAUAUUCUUGCGGGAGUAUUGGAGCUAUCAGUGAGAUACCACUCUUGUAAUGUUAGAUUUCUAACUUUGAACCAUAAUCUGGUCAAAGAACAGUUUCAGGUGGGCAGUUUGACUGGGGCGGUCGCCUCCCAAAUGGUAACGGAGGCGUACAAAGGUUUCCUCUGAACGGAUAGAAAUCGUAUCUAGAGUGUAAAGGCAUAAGGAAGCUUGACUGUGAGACCUACAAGUCGAGCAGGGACGAAAGUCGGUCUUAGUGAUCUGACGGUACUGAGUGGAAAGGCCGUCACUCAACGGAUAAAAGUUACUCUAGGAUAACAGGCUGAUCUCCCCCAAGAGUUCACAUCGACGGGGAGGUUUGGCACCUCGAUGUCGGCUCAUCGCAUCCUGGGGCGGUAGUACGUCCCAAGGGUUGGGCUGUUCGCCCAUGAAAGCGGUACGCGAGCUGGGUUCAGAACGUCGUGAGACAGUUCGGUCCAUAUCCGGUGUAGGCGCUAGAAUAUUGAGAGGCGCCUUCUUUAGUACGAGAGGACCGAGAAGGACACACCGCUGGUGUACCAGUUAUCGUGCCAACGGUAAACGCUGGGUAGCUAUGUGUGGAGUGGAUAACCGCUGAAAGCAUCUAAGUGGGAAGCCCACCUCGAGAUGAGUAUUCUCAUC
Molecule: ribosomal RNA, 1244 nt
Filed under: metagenome
Description: bacterial LSU rRNA
Rfam family: Bacterial large subunit ribosomal RNA
Source: RNAcentral